Long non-coding RNA from Mytilus californianus (California mussel), 144 nucleotides. RefSeq lists it as uncharacterized. The record is from RefSeq and is a predicted model, not a curated record. The transcript is spliced from 3 exons. Lineage: Eukaryota; Metazoa; Mollusca; Bivalvia; Mytilida; Mytilidae.
CAAAAUGUAUGAACAAGAUGAAAUGAUACAAGAAGUAGAACCAAGAAAACAAGAACCACAAGGACCUAAAGGACCACCAGGAAUGAAAGGAAGACAAGGACCACCAGGACCUAGAGGACAAAGAGGACCUAAAGGAAUGCAGGG